GCCGCUAGGUGAAUUGGUAGACC
RNAcentral lists this transfer RNA (23 nucleotides) under Asperugo procumbens. RNAcentral describes it as "partial tRNA-Leu". The record is from RNAcentral. Lineage: Eukaryota; Viridiplantae; Streptophyta; Magnoliopsida; Boraginales; Boraginaceae.